RNAcentral lists this ribosomal RNA (843 nucleotides) under uncultured bacterium. RNAcentral's name for it is "bacterial SSU rRNA". It matches the Rfam family "Bacterial small subunit ribosomal RNA", at positions 59 to 893 of the family's 1533-position model. The record is from RNAcentral.
CAGUCGAGGGGCAGCGGGGUAGUGCUUGCACUACUGCCGGCGACCGGCGCACGGGUGAGUAACACGUAUGGAACCUGCCCGCAGCAGGGGGAUAAGCGGAAGAAAUUCCGUCUAAUACCGCGUAACAACGUUGGGAGGCAUCUCCCGAUGUUUAAAGAUUUAUCGGCUGCGGAUGGCCAUGCGGCGCAUUAGCUAGUCGGCGGGGUAACGGCCCACCGAGGCGACGAUGCGUAGGGGUUCUGAGAGGAAGGUCCCCCACACUGGUACUGAGACACGGACCAGACUCCUACGGGAGGCAGCAGUGAGGAAUAUUGGUCAAUGGCCGAGAGGCUGAACCAGCCAAGUCGCGUGAGGGAAGACGGCCCUACGGGUUGUAAACCUCUUUUGUCGGGGAGCAAAGAGAGCCACGUGUGGUUCAUUGAGAGUACCCGAAGAAAAAGCAUCGGCUAACUCCGUGCCAGCAGCCGCGGUAAUACGGAGGAUGCGAGCGUUAUCCGGAUUUAUUGGGUUUAAAGGGUGCGCAGGCGGAGGUGCAAGUCAGCGGUCAAAUUGCGGGGCUCAACCCCGUACUGCCGUUGAAACUGCAUCCCUUGAGUGCGCGAGAAGUAUGCGGAAUGCGUGGUGUAGCGGUGAAAUGCAUAGAUAUCACGCAGAACUCCGAUUGCGAAGGCAGCAUACCGGCGCGCAACUGACGCUCAUGCACGAAAGCGUGGGUAUCGAACAGGAUUAGAUACCCUGGUAGUCCACGCAGUAAACGAUGAACACUAACUGUUCGGCCAAAGUGAUGGCUGAGUGGUACAGCGAAAGCGUUAAGUGUUCCACCUGGGGAGUACGCCGGCAACG